ACUCAACAAGUUUCUAUUAAAAAAAGUGAGUCUUUGUUUUGAAAGCAAGCUGCCACCGAGCAGAUCCUUGACCAGCAAGUUAGCUUUAAACCUGUUUUUUGGAGUUU
This 107-nucleotide small RNA is filed under the name Flavobacteriaceae bacterium. RNAcentral's name for it is "6S RNA". It matches the Rfam family "6S-Flavo RNA". The record is from RNAcentral. Lineage: Bacteria; Pseudomonadati; Bacteroidota; Flavobacteriia; Flavobacteriales; Flavobacteriaceae.